GAUGAACGCUGGCGGCGUGCCUAAUACAUGCAAGUCGAGCGAACGGACGAGAAGCUUGCUUUUCUGAUGUUAGCGGCGGACGGGUGAGUAACACGUGGAUAACCUACCUAUAAGACUGGGAUAACUUCGGGAAACCGGAGCUAAUACCGGAUAAUAUUUUGAACCGCAUGGUUCAAAAGUGAAAGACGGUCUUGCUGUCACUUAUCGAUGGAUCCGCGCUGCAUUAGCUAGUUGGUAAGGUAACGGCUUACCAAGGCAACGAUGCAUAGCCGACCUGAGAGGGUGAUCGGCCACACUGGAACUGAGACACGGUCCAGACUCCUACGGGAGGCAGCAGUAGGGAAUCUUCCGCAAUGGGCGAAAGCAUGACGGAGCAACGCCGCGUGAGUGAUGAAGGUCUUCGGAUCGUAAAACUCUGUUAUUAGGGAAGAACAUAUGUGUAAGUAACUGUGCACAUCUUGACGGUACCUAAUCAGAAAGCCACGGCUAACUACGUG
RNAcentral lists this ribosomal RNA (497 nucleotides) under uncultured bacterium. Its description in RNAcentral is "partial 16S ribosomal RNA". It matches the Rfam family "Bacterial small subunit ribosomal RNA", at positions 28 to 507 of the family's 1533-position model. The record is from RNAcentral.